CCUGCUGAGAGUCAUUUCCUGUGCUGGAUUUACCAUCACAGGGACCAGAUUUAUAGAAAAAUGAACAUGUAUUGUUGCUAAAUGGAGUUGGUCAUGGAGUGGAAACUAACAAUAUGUUCACCUUAGAAAUGUGCUACAACCACUCAAGGUCUGCAAACAGAUUCCUAUUUAGAUGUUGUUGAGAGUUUCGUUCUUGUCGCCCAGGCUGGAGUGUCAUUUUAAC
RNAcentral lists this long non-coding RNA (223 nucleotides) under Homo sapiens (human). RNAcentral's name for it is "HSALNT0408203". The record is from RNAcentral. Lineage: Eukaryota; Metazoa; Chordata; Mammalia; Primates; Hominidae.